RNAcentral lists this ribosomal RNA (464 nucleotides) under uncultured bacterium. RNAcentral's name for it is "partial 16S ribosomal RNA". It matches the Rfam family "Bacterial small subunit ribosomal RNA", at positions 28 to 507 of the family's 1533-position model. The record is from RNAcentral.
GACGAAUGCUGGCGGCGUGCUUAACACAUGCAAGUCGAACGGAAAGGCCCUGCUUGCCGGGUACUCGAGUGGCGAACGGGUGAGUAACACGUGGGUGAUCUGCCCUGCACUUCGGGAUAAGCCUGGGAAACUGGGUCUAAUACCGGAUAGGAGCCAUUUUUAGUGCGAUGGUUGGAAAGUUUUUUCGGUGUAGGAUGAGCUCGCGGCCUAUCAGCUUGUUGGUGGGGUAAUGGCCUACCAAGGCGGCGACGGGUAGCCGGCCUGAGAGGGUGGACGGCCACAUUGGGACUGAGAUACGGCCCAGACUCCUACGGGAGGCAGCAGUGGGGAAUAUUGCACAAUGGGCGCAAGCCUGAUGCAGCGACGCCGCGUGGGGGAUGACGGCCUUCGGGUUGUAAACUCCUUUCGCUAGGGACGAAGCUUUUGUGACGGUACCUAGAGAAGAAGCACCGGCUAACUACGUG